UCAUCUUCGGGGGUAGAGCACUGUUUCGGCUAGGGGGUCAUCCCGACUUACCAACCCGAUGCAAACUGCGAAUACCGGAGAAUGUUAUCACGGGAGACACACGGCGGGUGCUAACGUCCGUCGUGAAGAGGGAAACAACCCAGACCGCCAGCUAAGGUCCCAAAGUCAUGGUUAAGUGGGAAACGAUGUGGGAAGGCCCAGACAGCCAGGAUGUUGGCUUAGAAGCAGCCAUCAUUUAAAGAAAGCGUAAUAGCUCACUGGUCGAGUCGGCCUGCGCGGAAGAUGUAACGGGGCUAAACCAUGCACCGAAGCUGCGGCAGCGACGCUUAUGCGUUGUUGGGUAGGGGAGCGUUCUGUAAGCCGUUGAAGGUGGCCUGUGAGGGUUGCUGGAGGUAUCAGAAGUGCGAAUGCUGACAUAAGUAACGAUAAAGCGGGUGAAAAGCCCGCUCGCCGGAAGACCAAGGGUUCCUGUCCAACGUUAAUCGGGGCAGGGUGAGUCGACCCCUAAGGCGAGGCCGAAAGGCGUAGUCGAUGGGAAACAGGUUAAUAUUCCUGUACUCGGUGUUACUGCGAAGGGGGGACGGAGAAGGCUAUGUUGGCCGGGCGACGGUUGUCCCGGUUUAAGCAUGUAGGCGGGUGUUCCAGGUAAAUCCGGAACGCUGUUAACGCUGAGGUGUGAUGACGAGGCACUACGGUGCUGAAGCAACAAAUGCCCUGCUUCCAGGAAAAGCCUCUAAGCAUCAGGUAACAUCAAAUCGUACCCCAAACCGACACAGGUGGUCAGGUAGAGAAUACCAAGGCGCUUGAGAGAACUCGGGUGAAGGAACUAGGCAAAAUGGUGCCGUAACUUCGGGAGAAGGCACGCUGAUGGUAGGUGAAGUGAUUUACUCAUGGAGCUGAAAUCAGUCGAAGAUACCAGCUGGCUGCAACUGUUUAUUAAAAACACAGCACUGUGCAAACACGAAAGUGGACGUAUACGGUGUGACGCCUGCCCGGUGCCGGAAGGUUAAUUGAUGGGGUUAUCCUCGCGGAGAAGCUC
Molecule: ribosomal RNA, 1039 nt
Filed under: Salmonella enterica
Lineage: Bacteria; Pseudomonadati; Pseudomonadota; Gammaproteobacteria; Enterobacterales; Enterobacteriaceae
Description: partial 23S ribosomal RNA
Rfam family: Bacterial large subunit ribosomal RNA
Source: RNAcentral